UACGGGGGGGGCAAGCGUUGUUCGGAAUUACUGGGCGUAAAGGGUCUGUAGGUGGCCAACUAAGUCAUACGUGAAAUCCCUCAGCUUAACUGGGGAACUGCGUCUGAUACUGGUUGGCUUGAGUGCAGGAGAGGAACGCGGAAUUCCAGGUGUAGCGGUGAAAUGCGUAGAUAUCUGGAGGAACACCGGUGGCGAAGGCGGGUCUCUGGGCCGAAAUUGACGCUGAGGAGCGAAAGCGUGGGGAGCAAACAGG
This 253-nucleotide ribosomal RNA is filed under the name uncultured bacterium. RNAcentral's name for it is "partial 16S ribosomal RNA". It matches the Rfam family "Bacterial small subunit ribosomal RNA", at positions 524 to 776 of the family's 1533-position model. The record is from RNAcentral.